GACGAACGCUGGCGGCGUGCUUAACACAUGCAAGUCGAACGGAAAGGCCCUGCUUUUGUGGGGUGCUCGAGUGGCGAACGGGUGAGUAACACGUGAGUAACCUGCCCUUGACUUUGGGAUAACUUCAGGAAACUGGGGCUAAUACCGGAUAGGAGCUUCUGCUGCGUGGUGGGGGUUGGAAAGUUUCGGCGGUUGGGGAUGGACUCGCGGCUUAUCAGCUUGUUGGUGGGGUAGUGGCUUACCAAGGCUUUGACGGGUAGCCGGCCUGAGAGGGUGACCGGCCACAUUGGGACUGAGAUACGGCCCAGACUCCUACGGGAGGCAGCAGUGGGGAAUAUUGCACAAUGGGCGGAAGCCUGAUGCAGCAACGCCGCGUGCGGGAUGACGGCCUUCGGGUUGUAAACCGCUUUCGCCUGUGACGAAGCGUGAGUGACGGUAAUGGGUAAAGAAGCACCGGCUAACUACGUG
This 468-nucleotide ribosomal RNA is filed under the name uncultured bacterium. RNAcentral describes it as "partial 16S ribosomal RNA". It matches the Rfam family "Bacterial small subunit ribosomal RNA", at positions 28 to 507 of the family's 1533-position model. The record is from RNAcentral.